GAUGAACGCUAGCUACAGGCUUAACACAUGCAAGUCGAGGGGAAACGACAUUAAGUGCUUGCACUUUUUGGACGUCGACCGGCGCACGGGUGAGUAACGCGUAUCCAACCUUCCCAUGACUAAGGGAUAACCUGCCGAAAGGCAGACUAAUACCUUAUGGUCUUCACUGACGGCAUCAGAUGUGAAGUAAAGAUUUAUCGGUUAUGGAUGGGGAUGCGUCUGAUUAGCUUGUUGGCGGGGUAACGGCCCACCAAGGCAACGAUCAGUAGGGGUUCUGAGAGGAAGGUCCCCCACAUUGGAACUGAGACACGGUCCAAACUCCUACGGGAGGCAGCAGUGAGGAAUAUUGGUCAAUGGGCGAGAGCCUGAACCAGCCAAGUAGCGUGCAGGAUGACGGCCCUAUGGGUUGUAAACUGCUUUUGUAUGGGGAUAAAGUCAAUCACGUGUGAUUGUUUGCAGGUACCAUACGAAUAAGGACCGGCUAAUUCCGUGCCAGCAGCCGCGGUAAUACGGAAGGUCCGGGCGUUAUCCGGAUUUAUUGGGUUUAAAGGGAGCGUAGGCUGGAGAUUAAGUGUGUUGUGAAAUGUAGGCGCUCAACGUCUGACUUGCAGCGCAUACUGGUUUCCUUGAGUACGCACAACGUUGGCGGAAUUCGUCGUGUAGCGGUGAAAUGCUUAGAUAUGACGAAGAACUCCGAUUGCGAAGGCAGCUGACGGGAGCGCAACUGACGCUGAAGCUCGAAGGUGCGGGUAUCGAACAGG
RNAcentral lists this ribosomal RNA (761 nucleotides) under Prevotella melaninogenica. RNAcentral describes it as "bacterial SSU rRNA". It matches the Rfam family "Bacterial small subunit ribosomal RNA", at positions 28 to 776 of the family's 1533-position model. Lineage: Bacteria; Pseudomonadati; Bacteroidota; Bacteroidia; Bacteroidales; Prevotellaceae. The record is from RNAcentral.